UACGUAGGUGACAAGCGUUAUCCGGAUUUAUUGGGCGUAAAGCGCGCGCAGGCGGCCUCUUAAGUCUGAUGUGAAAUCUUGCGGCUCAACCGCAAGCGGCCAUUGGAAACUGGGGGGCUUGAGUACAGAAGAGGAGAGUGGAAUUCCACGUGUAGCGGUGAAAUGCGUAGAUAUGUGGAGGAACACCAGUGGCGAAGGCGACUCUCUGGUCUGUAACUGACGCUGAGGCGCGAAAGCGUGGGGAGCAAACAGG
Molecule: ribosomal RNA, 253 nt
Filed under: uncultured bacterium
Lineage: Bacteria
Description: partial 16S ribosomal RNA
Rfam family: Bacterial small subunit ribosomal RNA
Source: RNAcentral